This 2755-nucleotide long non-coding RNA is filed under the name Homo sapiens (human). Its description in RNAcentral is "non-protein coding lnc-NCOA3-31:1". Lineage: Eukaryota; Metazoa; Chordata; Mammalia; Primates; Hominidae. The record is from RNAcentral.
AGAAGCCAGCACCACCACCUUCAUCAAUAUCACCAUGACUUUCAUCGUCAUCACCAUUACAACCACCAUCAUUAAUAUCACCAUCACCUUCACGUAACUACCUCCACAACCACCAUUCUCAAUAUCACCAUCACCUUCAUUACCACCACUACAACCACCAUCAAUAUCACCAUCACCUUCAUCAUCACCACCACCACAACCACCAUCAAUAUCACCAUCACCUUCAUCACCACCACCAUCAUCAUCAAUAUCACUAUCACUUUCAUCAUCACCACCAGCACCACAACCACCAUCAAUAUCACCAUUACCUUCAUCAUCACCAUCACCUUCAUCACCACAACCACCAUCUCACAAUCACUUUCAUCAUCACCACCACCAUAACCAUCGUCAAUAUCACCAUCACCUUCAUCAUCACCACAACCACCAUCAACCAUAUCACCAUCACUUUCAUCAUCACCACCACCACAACCACCAUCAAUACCACCUUCAUCAUCACCACCACCACAAAUCACCAUCAUAUCACCCUCACUUUCAUCAUUACCACAAUCACCAUCAAUAUCACCAUCCCCUUCACCAUCACUACCAACACAGCCACCAUCAUCAAUAUCACCCUCAACUUUAUUAUCACCUCCACCAUCAGCAGCAGCAUCAACUUCAUCAUCACCAUCACCACCUCUGCCAUCAGCAGCAUCAUUAUUAUCUUCAUCAUCAUGGUUUCAGCCACAAUCGGAAUCAACAGCCGUCACCCAGAGUUGAAGGAGGAAGUGGGCUGAGAGAAGCUCUGCCUUCAUAGUUCCUGGGAGGCAUGAACUGGUUGCUGCAUGCUGAGCAUUUCAAACUGGCACACGGUGUCACCCACUCAGAGAACACCCCUGACCUUCCCAAGGAAGCCCUCUGCACUCCGACGCCAUAUACCCGUGAUCUGCACAGGACUGUCACCAUCUGGAAUUGAUUGCCUCUCUUCCCGUUUUGCUAUUGUCAUUUGCACCCACAGGAAUGUCACCCACAUGAGUGUGGAAUUUCAUCUGUCUGUUCGCUGCUGGAUCCCUGCUCUAAGUAAGAAAAGGACCUGUGGCAGAGUGAGCUCUGGAUGAGGAUUUGCUGAGGAAUUGAAUGAGGGAAAGACUCAGAGAAUGGAAUGCUGAGAAUUCUACAAUAAAUAUUUGAAUCCUAGAGUGUUGGAGUCAGGAGAAGCCCUCGGAAGCCAUCUAGACAAACCCAUUCAUUUGCAAAGGGGUAAACUGAGGCUGAGGAGAAAAAAGUGACUUGCUCCACAUCCCAAGGCCUGAGGGUCUUCUCCCUGCUCUGAUGGGAGAGGGACCCCCUUUGUGCUGUUGUGGGUAAAAUGGUGAUGUGUGGCUGGAGGGUGAAGGGGCUUCUUCUGCCCUUUGACUCAUUGCCUAGGAAAAUAGGGACAAAAGGCGCAAAUUUUUUCAAAAUGCAAACAACUAAAGACAACGUCAUUCAGUAGAGACAAAGUGGGUGUUUGGGUUGACAGAGAAACAGAAAAGCUUCCCUGAGGUUGAGGAGGGAAGAGGGGGCUUGAAGGUGGGUGAGCCCCAAAUGUGACCUUCAACUCCUGGGAAGCUGUAGGCAAGGACAUAGCCAAGGCAAAACCAUCAAGAAUGUAAUUCACCAACAGAAACAUUCACUGACCACCCUCGGGGCCUGAAGGUCUUUCCAAAGCCUUGCUGCUGAGCACAUGAUGAACUUCAAACAAUAGCGAAGUCAGGAGCCAGGCGCUGAUGACCCCCAGGAGGAAGCUUGCAGAGGAUGAUGGGACAGAGGGGGAUGGGCAGGAGUCUAAGCAGGCGCUCAGGGAGGCCGCUUUCGUCAAGGAUGCUGAAAGAAUGGGGGUCUCAUGGAUUCUGGGAGAGAUGGUCCAAGGCAGAGGGACAGCCAGUGUGGGCCUGGAAAGAUGUGUGCCGCAUGUCUGAGGGGCAGGGGCCAAUGUGGCUGGAGGUAGAUGGGAGAGGAGGACACUAGGGGCUGAGGUCAGAGGGGACACAACUGGAUCUGUGCGAGACCUUGCAUGCCACUGAAAGGGCGCUGGCUGUCACUGUCGUGACCAGAGCCUCUGGGCAGGUCUUCACAGAGGUCAGGCUGACUGCACUUGCGGAUGGAUUGAAUAGCAGUAGUUAGAGGACAGCAUGCAUGGCUCAGGGAGGAUUCCCAGGAUUUGGGAUGCACAGCUGGAAGAAGGGAGGAGCUCCUGAAUGAGGAGUGGGAGGUCCGGGAAGGGCAGCCUUGGUGGGGAGAGACGCCGGGACCUGCAGAGAAACUCCCUGAAAAGAACAGGGCUGAGCCAUCUUUACCCCAGGCUCAGGACCUUCCUUCGCUGUAACUGCCAGGACAAUCCACUGUGCUGUCACUCAGAGAGCGAAACCAGCCUGACUUUGCACCUGUGUCUCCAAGGGAUAAAGGUCAAUGUCACAGCAGACUCCACUCUGAUGCUGUCUUCAAGCCAAAACCUUAAUAUUCAAUGAGAAAUCUGCAUUGAUGAAAUUUUCAUUAAACAAACUUUAUCCCUCUCACUCCUCUUGUUAUUCGUGGCUUUAAGUAUCAGGCUAAUUUAGGCUUGAUGCCCCAGUGAUCUGCAGAUUGGAGCAUUAUUAAACAUUUAGAUGAGCAAUGAUGAGCCUGAGCCUCCCUCUCCUCUCUCAGCUGGAGCACAGGGGGCUCUGCUAAUGAUCACAAUGGAUUUGGGGCAGACACAGCAAUUAGAGAAUUAUCUAUAGUUUGAGCAAGAUUUGAC